RNAcentral lists this long non-coding RNA (495 nucleotides) under Homo sapiens (human). Its description in RNAcentral is "HSALNT0335530". The record is from RNAcentral. Lineage: Eukaryota; Metazoa; Chordata; Mammalia; Primates; Hominidae.
AUGCUCAGUUACUCCCUGUUUCCAGAGUAGAAGAGGAAAAGAGCUUUACCUAGAGCAAGAAAAUAGAAAAGGCUUUUUAGCACUGAGAAGUGUUCAUUCCUGAGAAAAGAAAGACAAAGAAUGGCUUAAUCACUGACUGUCAAAUAAAUGAAGGCCUAUCAACUGGAGAGAAACUGUUAGAUAAAAGAGAGAGAGAACUAAAACAAAAGAUCUACCCUAGAAGGAAGCACCAUUUUGAUUCUAAAGAUUGUGGGAGUCUCUUGGGCUCAUUGUUCUUGAAAAACUAUCUGUGGCAGUUCUUUGAGGCCUGGGAUUAAAAGGUGUUUCUCCAAGGAGAACUUGUUAGUGAUCUGCCUGGUGCCUAUACCAAAUUUUGGAGGUUCCCUGGAGUACUCAACCUGCAAAUCAUCUCAGAGGACCCAGCUCAGCUUCAGGAAGCCUCCCCAGGCCCAAAGACUGGGUUAGAGCUUCUCCCUCCUGGUGCAAUGCUUCAUU